Non-coding RNA from Pelobates cultripes (western spadefoot toad), 275 nucleotides. The record is from the annotation of a GenBank genome assembly. Lineage: Eukaryota; Metazoa; Chordata; Amphibia; Anura; Pelobatidae.
CACUCACCCACGAGGACCACCAGGGAACACCGCGUGCCGGACCCCCCCUCCCAGUCCCAGCGUGCCGGUCCCCCCCCCUCCCAGGCUAAAGGUAAGAAGGGAGGGGGGGACACAAUGCCUGUUUUUUUUUAUUUACCCCCCAUACACACACACAAUAACAUUUAUACAGCACUCUCACACACAUCACACACAGCACUCUCACACACACACAGCACUCUCUCACACAGCACUCUCACACACAUCACACACAGCACUCUCUCACACAGCACUCUCAC